AUUGAACGCUGGCGGCAGGCCUAACACAUGCAAGUCGGACGAGCGGCGGACGGGUGAGUAAUGUAUGGGGAUCUGCCUGAUGGAGGGGGCUAACUGCUGGAAACGUUAGCUAAUCGCGCAUAACCUCAGCUCGACCGAUAGGGGUUUAGCUUGUAGGUAAGGUAACGGCUGACCUCGGCGACGCUCCCUAGCUGGUCGUAGAGGAUGAUCAGCCACGCUGGGACGUAGACCCGGCCCAGACUCCUACGGGAGGCAGCAGUGGGGAAUAUUGAACAAUGGGCGCAAGCCUGACGCAGCCAUGCCGCGUGUAUGAAGAAGGUCUUCGGGUUUUAAAGUUCUUUUAUUCGGGAGGCGUUACCGACAGAAGAAGCAACGGCUAACUACGUGCCAGCAGCCGCGGUAAUUC
RNAcentral lists this ribosomal RNA (406 nucleotides) under uncultured bacterium. RNAcentral describes it as "partial 16S ribosomal RNA". It matches the Rfam family "Bacterial small subunit ribosomal RNA", at positions 30 to 526 of the family's 1533-position model. The record is from RNAcentral.